This 501-nucleotide ribosomal RNA is filed under the name uncultured bacterium. RNAcentral describes it as "partial 16S ribosomal RNA". It matches the Rfam family "Bacterial small subunit ribosomal RNA", at positions 30 to 523 of the family's 1533-position model. The record is from RNAcentral.
AUUGAACGCUGGCGGCAGGCUUAACACAUGCAAGUCGAGCGGGGGAAGGUAGCUUGCUACCGGACCUAGCGGCGGACGGGUGAGUAAUGCUUAGGAAUCUGCCUAUUAGUGGGGGACAACAUCUCGAAAGGGAUGCUAAUACCGCAUACGUCCUACGGGAGAAAGCAGGGGAUCGUCGGACCUUGCGCUAAUAGAUGAGCCUAGGUCGGAUUAGCUAGUUGGUGGGGUAAAGGCCUACCAAGGCGACGAUCUGUAGCGGGUCUGAGAGGAUGAUCCGCCACACUGGGACUGAGACACGGCCCAGACUCCUACGGGAGGCAGCAGUGGGGAAUAUUGGACAAUGGGGGGAACCCUGCUCCAGCCAUGCCGCGUGUGUGGAGAAGGCCUUAUGGUUGUAAAGCACUUUAGGCGAGGAGGAGGCUACUUUAGUUAAUACCUAGAGAUAGUGGACGUUACUCGCAGAAUAAGCACCGGCUAACUCUGUGCCAGCCGCCGCAGUAA